RNAcentral lists this ribosomal RNA (491 nucleotides) under uncultured Brevundimonas sp. RNAcentral's name for it is "bacterial SSU rRNA". It matches the Rfam family "Bacterial small subunit ribosomal RNA", at positions 350 to 859 of the family's 1533-position model. The record is from RNAcentral. Lineage: Bacteria; Pseudomonadati; Pseudomonadota; Alphaproteobacteria; Caulobacterales; Caulobacteraceae.
AGCAGUGGGGAAUCUUGCGCAAUGGGCGAAAGCCUGACGCAGCCAUGCCGCGUGAAUGAUGAAGGUCUUAGGAUUGUAAAAUUCUUUCACCGGGGACGAUAAUGACGGUACCCGGAGAAGAAGCCCCGGCUAACUUCGUGCCAGCAGCCGCGGUAAUACGAAGGGGGCUAGCGUUGCUCGGAAUUACUGGGCGUAAAGGGAGCGUAGGCGGACAUUUAAGUCAGGGGUGAAAUCCCGGGGCUCAACCUCGGAAUUGCCUUUGAUACUGGGUGUCUUGAGUAUGAGAGAGGUGUGUGGAACUCCGAGUGUAGAGGUGAAAUUCGUAGAUAUUCGGAAGAACACCAGUGGCGAAGGCGACACACUGGCUCAUUACUGACGCUGAGGCUCGAAAGCGUGGGGAGCAAACAGGAUUAGAUACCCUGGUAGUCCACGCCGUAAACGAUGAUUGCUAGUUGUCGGGAUGCAUGCAUUUCGGUGACGCAGCUAACGCA